Long non-coding RNA from Eucalyptus grandis, 762 nucleotides. RefSeq lists it as uncharacterized. NCBI's taxonomy places the organism in Eukaryota, Viridiplantae, Streptophyta, Magnoliopsida, Myrtales, Myrtaceae. The transcript has 2 exons. The record is from RefSeq and is a predicted model, not a curated record.
CCGUGUUCCCUCCCUCCACCACGAUGGCCUCGACCGUCUCCCACGGCCACCGCCACCACAUCAUCCCACUUCACCUCCCUCUUCCUCGUCUCCGUUGUCGCCAUCGUCGUCUUCUUCCUCGCCUACUCCUCCUCUUAACGGGACAGAGAUUGAGCCGCCGCCGUCGCCGCUACUGAGCCGUCCGCCGUGCGGAAUCCUCUGGUCCGGCGUCCGCGGGAUUGCUUCGAGAGUCCGCCACUGCGCGCUCGUCGCGGGAGGUUUCUAGUCGUUCGGCUCUGCUGCGGCGGCGGCCGGAGUGGCGGCGGUAAUCCUGCUGUCGUUGGCGUACGCGAGAAUGCGGAGCAGGAGGAGGCGGUGGUGGUGGAGCAGGGACAGAGUCCCCGUGGCGGAGGCGAGCGAGAACCCCCUCCUCCUCCUCAUCAGAGACAAGGACCAGAAGAUCAGUCAACUCCUGCAUCAAAUUGCACAGAUGAACGAAUUCAUGUUAGCUCGGCGGUGGGUUCAGGUGCUUCGAGUCGAUCGUUAAUGCUUUUCAUCUCUCAUCAGUCGUCUCUCUGCUGCAGUCGCUCCUUAAAGCUGCUCCAACCGGCACAAGAAUGGACGUGAAAAUGCGAGAAUUUUUGGCUUCUGUUUAUACAUAUAUGUAUGGAGGGAAUACACUUGAACUGCCCAAUGAGUACUGAUUCUGUAAAGACAAAUGGUGACUGCACCAAUCUAUUAUUCUAUUAGUUUGAUAUGUGGAAAUUCCAUCAUUUUGCUGUG